AAGCUCGUAGUUGAAUUUCGGGGUUAGUAGGUUGGUCAUGCCUCUGGUAUGUACUGGUCUCACUGAUUCCUCCUUCCUGAGGAACCGUAAUGCCAUUAAUUUGGUGUUGCGGGGAAUUUGGACUGUUACUUUGAAAAAAUUAGAGUGUUUAAAGCAAGCUAACGCUUGAAUACAUUAGCAUGGAAUAAUGAAACAGGACGUCCGAUCCUAUUUUGUUGGUUUCUAGGAUUGACGUAAUGAUUAAUAGGGAUAGUUGGGGGCAUUAGUAUUCAAUUGUCAGAGGUGAAGUUCUUGGAUUUAUUGAAGACUAACUACUGCGAAAGCAUUUGCCAAGGAUGUUUUCAUUAAUCAAGAACGAAAGUUAGGGGAUCGAAGACGAUCAGAUACCGUCGUAGUCUUAACCAUAAACUAUGCCGACUAGGGAUCGGAUGAUGUUAAUUUUUUAAUGACUCAUUCGGCGCCUUACGGGAAACCAAAGUGUUUGGGUUCCGGGGGGAGUAUGGUCGCAAGGCUGAAACUUAAAGGAAUUGACGGAAGGGCACCACCAGGGGUGGAGCCUGCGGCUUAAUUUGACUCAACACGGGGAAACUCACCAGGUCCAGACAUAGUAAGGAUUGACAGAUUGAGAGCUCUUUCUUGAUUCUAUGGGUG
This 651-nucleotide ribosomal RNA is filed under the name uncultured Rhizophagus. RNAcentral describes it as "SSU rRNA". It matches the Rfam family "Eukaryotic small subunit ribosomal RNA", at positions 624 to 1276 of the family's 1831-position model. Lineage: Eukaryota; Fungi; Glomeromycota; Glomeromycetes; Glomerales; Glomeraceae. The record is from RNAcentral.